GACGAACGCUGGCGGCGUGCUUAACACAUGCAAGUCGUACGGUAAGGCCCUUUCGGGGGUACACGAGUGGCGAACGCGUGAGUAACACGUGAGUAACCUGCCCACAACUUUGGGAUAACGCUAGGAAACUGGUGCUAAUACUGGAUAUGUGCUCCUGCUGCAUGGUGGGGGUUGGAAAGCUCCGGCGGCUGUGGAUGGACUCGCGGCCUAUCAGCUUGUUGGUGGGGUAGUGGCCUACCAAGGCGGCGACGGGUAGCCGGCCUGAGAGGGUGACCGGCCACAUUGGGACUGAGAUACGGCCCAGACUCCUACGGGAGGCAGCAGGGGGGAAUAUUGCACAAUGGGCGCAAGCCUGAUGCAGCAACGCCGCGUGCGGGAUGACGGCCUUCGGGUUGUAAACCGCUUUCAGCAGGGACGAAGCUUUUUGUGACGGUACCUGCAGAAGAAGCACCGGCUAACUACGUG
RNAcentral lists this ribosomal RNA (465 nucleotides) under uncultured bacterium. RNAcentral's name for it is "partial 16S ribosomal RNA". It matches the Rfam family "Bacterial small subunit ribosomal RNA", at positions 28 to 507 of the family's 1533-position model. The record is from RNAcentral.